UAGGGAAUCUUCGGCAAUGGGGGCAACCCUGACCGAGCAACGCCGCGUGAGUGAAGAAGGUUUUCGGAUCGUAAAGCUCUGUUGUAAGAGAAGAACGUGUGUGAGAGUGGAAAGUUCACACAGUGACGGUAAUUUACCAGAAAGGGACGGCUAACUACGUGCCAGCAGCCGCGGUAAUACGUAGGUCCCGAGCGUUGUCCGGAUUUAUUGGGCGUAAAGCGAGCGCAGGCGGUUUAAUAAGUCUGAAGUUAAAGGCAGUGGCUUAACCAUUGUUCGCUUUGGAAACUGUUAAACUUGAGUGCAGAAGGGGAGAGUGGAAUUCCAUGUGUAGCGGUGAAAUGCGUAGAUAUAUGGAGGAACACCGGUGGCGAAAGCGGCUCUCUGGUCUGUAACUGACGCUGAGGCUCGAAAGCGUGGGGAGCAAACAGG
This 429-nucleotide ribosomal RNA is filed under the name bacterium. Its description in RNAcentral is "partial 16S ribosomal RNA". It matches the Rfam family "Bacterial small subunit ribosomal RNA", at positions 355 to 776 of the family's 1533-position model. The record is from RNAcentral.